CCGCGGGCCCCCGCUGGCGCCGAGCCCCCGGUGCCGCCGGCGCCGCGCGCAAAUUACAUCUGAGCCGUCUUUCAAGCCGCCGGCCGCUUUCAAAACGGGGCUUUGAAAGGCCGGGCUCCCCCGGCUCCGCGCUGGAGGACCGAGCCGGGCUUGUCGGGGAGGCCGGGCCGGCGCGCACGUGCCCGCCUCUGCGGCCCCCGCGCGCGCUGCCAGCGAGCAUGAAAGCGAGGAGACGGUCUGUGAUCCCGCCUUACCGAGGGACCCAAUCUGGGAGGCAAAGAACAGACAGAUACAUGGACCUGUGGUUCUCCCAUUAUCUGAAUCCUGUUCCUGAUGACACAGGUUGGAGCAAAGCCUGCAGUGAGACGAGCCAAAGGCACCAAGCUGGAUGUCCUAGCUGCUGCCUCUCCCUUUACACCACGGUGAAAGCUCUGCCUAUAUGUUUUUAG
RNAcentral lists this long non-coding RNA (449 nucleotides) under Felis catus (domestic cat). RNAcentral's name for it is "lncRNA (ENSFCAG00000047824.1)". Lineage: Eukaryota; Metazoa; Chordata; Mammalia; Carnivora; Felidae. The record is from RNAcentral.